GAUCCUGGCUCAGGACGAACGCUGGCGGCGCGCCUAACACAUGCAAGUCGAACGGGGUUAUACGGGAUGAAGUUUUCGGAUGGAAUUCUAUAUAACCUAGUGGCGGACGGGUGGGUAACACGUGAGCAACCUGCCUAUCAGAGGGGGAUAACGAUUGGAAACGAUCGCUAAUACCGCAUGACAUAGCGAAGAGGCAUCUUUUUGCUAUCAAAGAUUUAUCGCUGAUAGAUGGGCUCGCGUCCG
This 243-nucleotide ribosomal RNA is filed under the name uncultured bacterium. RNAcentral describes it as "partial 16S ribosomal RNA". It matches the Rfam family "Bacterial small subunit ribosomal RNA", at positions 15 to 239 of the family's 1533-position model. The record is from RNAcentral.